AGGGGCUGGAGAGAUGGCUCAAAGGUUAA
RNAcentral lists this non-coding RNA (29 nucleotides) under Cricetulus griseus (Chinese hamster). The record is from RNAcentral. Lineage: Eukaryota; Metazoa; Chordata; Mammalia; Rodentia; Cricetidae.